RNAcentral lists this small RNA (1045 nucleotides) under Pan troglodytes (chimpanzee). RNAcentral describes it as "retained intron". The record is from RNAcentral. Lineage: Eukaryota; Metazoa; Chordata; Mammalia; Primates; Hominidae.
CUGCUGCACUGCGCCGGGGGCAGCGAGGGCAGGAAGACCUGGCGGCGCCGGGGUCAGCAGCCGCCUCCUCCCCCGCGGACCGAGGCGGCGCCGGCGGCCGGACAGCCCGUGGAGAGCUUCCCGCUGGACUUCACGGCCGUGGAGGGUAACAUGGACAGCUUUAUGGCGCAAGUCAAGAGCCUGGCGCAGUCCCUGUACCCCUGCUCCGCGCAGCAGCUCAACGAGGACCUGCGCCUGCACCUCCUGCUCAACACCUCGGUGACCUGCAACGACGGCAGCCCCGCCGGCUACUACCUGAAGGAGUCCAGGGGCAGCCGGCGGUGGCUCCUCUUCCUGGAAGGUGCGUCCAGGGCUGAGGCGGGGGGAGGCUCGGGGUCUGUGCGCGCGGGCCUGAGCGGUGGUCGUGUCCGCAGGCGGCUGGUACUGCUUCAACCGCGAGAACUGCGACUCCAGAUACGACACCAUGCGGCGCCUCAUGAGCUCCCGAGACUGGCCGCGCACUCGCACAGGUCAGCGGCGGGCCCUGGGGAAGGCGUCUCGACGUGAGGCCCGGGAGGAAGCCGCGCCCGCGUCCUGGAGCCCCAGCCAGGCCCCCACCCCGCACAUCAUGCCCAGCCCGGCGCCCGGGUUUCCUAAGAGCAAGGGGCGCCCUUCACUCUUGCCUUUUGGGGCCCAUUCCACAUUACCAUUCAGGCGCUUACCCAGCGGCUCUGGCCCUCCCCAGGGUCAAAGCAGGGCAAGGGGUUGAAGUCAAGGUCAGACCUGGUGUCCAGCCUAGGCGGGCACCGUGGCCAUGGUGGCUUCCCGGGGGUAACUAAACCCAACUGUCCUCCACUUUCCCGGCAACCUUGGUUCGGGCUAGCAACACCAGCACACCUCCUUUCCUGGGGCCAAGUAGGAGCCCCAACUCCUCACCAGGGUUCCCAGACCCGACCCUACACAGCCUCCUCCCACUAGAAAGACCCACCGCCUCUGUGUCCCCAGGCACAGGGAUCCUGUCCUCACAGCCGGAGGAGAACCCCUACUGGUGGAACGCAAACAUGGU